GGCAGGGAUGGGUGUGCUAUAUGUGUAUGGGACGGAGAGCCAGGAGGAUUCAUAGGCACACUUCAGGCUAGGAACGACUCUGCAACCCUGUGUCUUGAUGCCAGUGCUCCUGCGACUCUCCCAUUAAUUCCCUGGGACCAAUUUAGAUUUCCUAAUUCUCAAUAUAUAAUCAAAUUACUUCCCCGAAAUUACCGGGUUUCAUUUCUGGGAACUGGUUCUCUGGAACUGCAUGAUUCAAACACGCUUCCCAACUCUGGAGUUCUGUGCCACAGCUCCUGGACAUCUAAACUUGGAUAUCCUGAUCGCACACGAGCUGCACCCUAGGCCGAGGAAAGCAGAAGGACAUGGAAUCAAGGACUCCACGUCUCAGGAACCACCUCCUGAGAAGACUAGGCUGAAUACACACUAAGGCGAGUCGCAGCUAGAAAGUGCGCCUGUGCAGUACAGCAUCUAGAGUGAGGGACUGCUCUUGUGCAUCACUGCUUUCUCCGCCUUCUCCAGCUGCUGCAAGGGCUCAAGGGUGCAGAAAUCCACAGACUCUGGGGCUGGGUAAAUGAUUAUCCCUGCCACAUUCAUCAUUCAUGCAGCUCCCAGGAAGAAUGACUGCUCUAUAUUGGACAUAAAUGUACUGACGGAGUAAUUGAAUAAGAAAACCAUUCAGAAGUUGAAGGAAAACAGUUCUUCACAGUUUGAGUGCACACACGUCUGCGUGUAUUUCACUAGAAAGGACACUCUCCAUAAGGAAAGAUUACUUUUGCGUAAGAGAGUUUGACACGAGGGUUUCUACGUGACGCUGUUUGACAAGGAUAUGACAGCUAUUUCAUGACAAUGUUUG
This 835-nucleotide small RNA is filed under the name Rattus norvegicus (Norway rat). RNAcentral's name for it is "uncharacterized LOC108351903". The record is from RNAcentral. Lineage: Eukaryota; Metazoa; Chordata; Mammalia; Rodentia; Muridae.